Molecule: long non-coding RNA, 1361 nt
Organism: Daphnia magna
Lineage: Eukaryota; Metazoa; Arthropoda; Branchiopoda; Diplostraca; Daphniidae
Exons: 2
Source: RefSeq, a predicted model, not a curated record
UGGUGUGCACUUUAGAAGAGAAAAGAGAAGAGAGUAACAGGCAAGAGUUGAGCUUUUGUGUUGAUUUUCCAAGGGCGAUGGCACACAAACUAUAACACCCUUCCGAAUCUAGGUCCGAUUAAAAACAACGACUCUGUAAACCGAGAAAGCUUCCCGGACUCAAAAGCUUCAAAUACAAGAGAGACAGACAGUUCUACUCUCCACACAAAACUGUACACCGGCAGCCAUGACUAUAUUUUGCGGCGUUGCGAGACAUCAACAGAUAGACAGAAACGGGGGGAGGCGAGGAAGAGAGGGGAAAAAAAAAAGAAUAACAAGUCUCGUCGUACCACUCGUUUCCUAGUCUCAUCAAAUGUCACAAUUCUUUCUUUUUUUCUUUCAACAGACGGAAGACCUAUGUAAAAGAAACCAUCUCUUGUUUGUUGUGUUUUAAUUAUCAUUGGGAUUUCCUUCUUAUACACCAAAGUCACUGGAGCUCAUUGUUGCGUUGUUCGUCGUUGUUCUGACGCCGGCGCCGAAUGGACACACUCGCGAUCGUUCGGUUUUGCUAGAAGCUUUACAACGGAUAUACUAUGUCUGUCUAGAUAGAACUGCUAUCUGAGCAAACAAAUUAUAAACGUGCUGUUAUAGUUCCCAUUAAAAAACAAAAACCCACCGAGAAAAAACAAACAAAAACAAAACCAAAGCUGACAGAAAAGAUUCGACUGUAACUGUGAAGACGGAUUUGUGUAAGAAUGCAUUUAUUUUCUUAGCGCCAAAACAGCUGGAUACUGCUGACCCCGAGAGUCACGAAAAUUAAAGACUCUGACGAAUGAUAUUUCUUUGACUUUGAGGUUCUCACUUUUCUUCUUGUGUAACAGUAACGCGCUAAUUAGGCACAGGAUUUUGUUAUCUACCUUUUGACAAUGUUCACACAGCAACACGAGCCUCUCCUUCUGUCUCAUAUAUAUAGAUCGCCAGCUGGAACGUGCUACGGCUAUUCAACGGACCGAACCCCCCUCCGCUUCUGGGUCCUCAUCACUCGAAAAACUCCAAACCGACAUUUUUGAAUGACUGAGUGUGAGGGGAGCAAAAGGCGAGGAACUCUUUUGCUGAGAGCUAUUGUUAAAGCGCCAUGUUCUGAGCUGCUGCUGGUUCAAAUAUAAACAGUCGUUCAUAAUACUUUUUUUUUGUGUGUCCCAGAAGCCUCGUCGUUCUCACUGAGCUCUUUCAAAAUUUUUCUAAAUAAAAAUGGAGCAGUUUAAGUCUGCAGAAUAAUCACAUUUUCAGUCCCAAGAAAUUUCUUGAGCUCUAAACAAAUCGAUUGCAUGACUCAAAAGGGAGAUUACAGCUAGAUGACGACGAAGUCUCUUGUAACUGAC